This 69-nucleotide transfer RNA is filed under the name Ictidomys tridecemlineatus (thirteen-lined ground squirrel). Its description in RNAcentral is "Spermophilus tridecemlineatus (thirteen-lined ground squirrel) tRNA". It matches the Rfam family "tRNA". From Rfam's summary of the family: Transfer RNA (tRNA) molecules are approximately 80 nucleotides in length. Their secondary structure includes four short double-helical elements and three loops (D, anti-codon, and T loops). The record is from Rfam by way of RNAcentral. Lineage: Eukaryota; Metazoa; Chordata; Mammalia; Rodentia; Sciuridae.
GGGGUUGUGGCUCAGUGGUAGAGCGCUUGCCUCCCAUGUGUGAGACCCUGGGUUCAAUCCUCAGCACCA